GGCAUAGUUUAAUGGUAGAACACCGGACUCUGACUCCGUUAGUGUUGGUUCGAAUCCAGCUGCC
RNAcentral lists this transfer RNA (64 nucleotides) under bovine gut metagenome. It matches the Rfam family "tRNA". Rfam says of the family: Transfer RNA (tRNA) molecules are approximately 80 nucleotides in length. Their secondary structure includes four short double-helical elements and three loops (D, anti-codon, and T loops). The record is from RNAcentral.